This 496-nucleotide ribosomal RNA is filed under the name uncultured bacterium. Its description in RNAcentral is "partial 16S ribosomal RNA". It matches the Rfam family "Bacterial small subunit ribosomal RNA", at positions 28 to 507 of the family's 1533-position model. The record is from RNAcentral.
GAUGAACGCUGGCGGCGUGCCUAAUACAUGCAAGUCGAGCGAACAGACGAGGAGCUUGCUCCUCUGACGUUAGCGGCGGACGGGUGAGUAACACGUGGAUAACCUACCUAUAAGACUGGGAUAACUUCGGGAAACCGGAGCUAAUACCGGAUAAUAUAUUGAACCGCAUGGUUCAAUAGUGAAAGACGGUUUUGCUGUCACUUAUAGAUGGAUCCGCGCCGCAUUAGCUAGUUGGUAAGGUAACGGCUUACCAAGGCAACGAUGCGUAGCCGACCUGAGAGGGUGAUCGGCCCCACGGGACCGGAGACACGGUCCAGACCCCUACGGGAGGCAGCAGUAGGGAAUCUUCCGCAAUGGGCGAAAGCCGGACGGAGAAACGCCGCGUGAGUGAUGAAGGUCUUCGGAUCGUAAAACUCUGUUAUUAGGGAAGAACAAAUGUGUAAGUAACAAUGAACGUCUUGACGGUACCUAUCAGAAAGCCACGGCUAACUACGUG